RNAcentral lists this long non-coding RNA (1339 nucleotides) under Equus caballus (horse). RNAcentral's name for it is "lncRNA (ENSECAG00000049789.1)". Lineage: Eukaryota; Metazoa; Chordata; Mammalia; Perissodactyla; Equidae. The record is from RNAcentral.
AUCACUCAAGGCUCUGAGCCACACCCCUCCCCCCAAGAAAGACAAAAACACACAGUCUCUGGCACGCGGGCGAGGUGGGCGUGAGGGGCUGUGACAAGCAGGCUGGCUGCCCUGACCUGAACUGCCCCCAGCCGGCCGCCCCUGCAUCUUCCCUGCUCUUUCCAUCUCGGCCUCGGUUUCCUCAAAGCUCUUCUGGCUCCCGCUAGCGCCAUUCACAUCUCUGAGCCUUCAUCCAGCUCCUCCUCAGGCCUCGCAUCCCAGCCAGGCUGGGGGCAGGCCGCCCCCUGCCCUCCCCAGGCACUCCGCUAGAACUUGAGGUCUCCUAAGUGCUGGGCAGUAUCUGGGCUGUUCCUCCGACCACUGCAUCGUGAGCGUCUCAGCUGUGCAACUCCAGGGAGGGGUCCCUGUGCCUCUGCACCAUGAGCCCAAACAGGGUCUGGAGCCUGGAUCCCACCUCAUCUGGAUUGCCCAGGCCUUUGCAGACAAGCCUUCAGAGAGGGCCCAGACCUCGGCCCUUCUGUCCUGGACUUCCCUGAGGACCUGGGUGGGGAGGGACAUGGUGGCAUGGCCAGGCCCAGGAGGGCAGAAGGCCAGAGGGUAUGGUCCAGAGUGGGUGACCCAGUGAGGGCUGUGUGGCAGAGCAGGACAAGAAAUGUGAUGGGGACGGAGGGAGGGCUGUGGCCCUUUGCCAAGCACACCCCACAUGAACCCCUGCAGGGAGACCCUCCCUGCACAUUGAGAUCCCUCCCUCCCCUACAGUAAGCCCCUCCCCCAUCACUAAGCCCCUUCUCCUCUCUCUGCGCCACCAUCCCCUCACUGUCCCUGCUCACUGUCCUCCCCCGCCUUAAGUCCCAUCCUAACUGCACUCUCUACCCUCAAGCCCCUGCCCCCCCCGCAUCCCCCUGACUUGCAGAGCAGCGAGCAGCUCAGACCCUGGUGCUGUGGCCUCUUCCAGGGUCUGGCCUGGACCCAGGCGUUUUCUAGGGGCACCUCCGGUCGGUUCCCCCUUCGUGGCACGCCGGGAAUGCAGCCCCUGCACACACAGGCCCCCUCCGCCGCGGAGAGGAGCUCAGUCCCGUGGACUUUUAAGGACUGAACAGGGAGCGAGCUCCGUCCCGGGCCUGGCCGAGCUGUCCUCCAGAUCUGGCCCCGUCACGGAGGGGCUUGGCUGGCUGCCCCAGUGGGGAGGGGUCUCAGCGCUUAGAUCAGGAAUGAACGGGGGCUGGGCACAUGUCGCGUCUGGCUGGGCCUCUGUCCCUCCUUCGGCCCCCCUUGGGUGGUGCUGAGGGCUGAGGACCCCUGCCCCUCUCUAGCAGGGGGUCCAGGCUGGGUCUCAGGG